CCUACGGGUGGCAGCAGUGGGGAAUAUUGCACAAUGGGGGAAACCCUGAUGCAGCAACGCCGCGUGAGUGAUGACGGCCUUCGGGUUUUAAAGCUCUGUCUUCAGGGACGUUAAUGACGGUACCUGAGGCUGAAGCCACGUCUAACUACGUGCCAGCAGCCGCGGUAAUAAGUAGGUGGCGAGCGUUGUCCGGAUUUACUGGGCGUAAAGGGAGCGUAGGCGGACUUUUAAGUGAGAUGUGAAAUACUCGGGAUCAACUUGAGUGCUGCAUUUCAAACUGGACGGCUAGAGUGCAGUAGCGGAGAAUGGAAUUGAUAGUGGAGCGGUGAAAUGCGUAGAGAUUAGGAAGAACACCAGUGGCGAAGGCGAU
Molecule: ribosomal RNA, 370 nt
Filed under: uncultured bacterium
Lineage: Bacteria
Description: partial 16S ribosomal RNA
Rfam family: Bacterial small subunit ribosomal RNA
Source: RNAcentral